This 308-nucleotide ribosomal RNA is filed under the name uncultured bacterium. Its description in RNAcentral is "bacterial SSU rRNA". It matches the Rfam family "Bacterial small subunit ribosomal RNA", at positions 28 to 334 of the family's 1533-position model. The record is from RNAcentral.
GAUGAACGCUAGCGGCAGGCUUAAUACAUGCAAGUCGAGGGGCAGCAGGGGUAGCAAUACCCGCUGGCGACCGGCAAACGGGUGCGCAACACGUACAGAACCUUCCUUUAAGCGGGGGAUAGCCCAUAGAAAUGUGGAUUAAUACCCCAUAGUAUUAUUGACUGGCAUCAGUUAAUAAUUAAAGAUUAUCACUUAAAGAUGGCUGUGCGUCUGAUUAGGUAGUUGGNGGGGUAACGGCCCACCAAGCCAUCGAUCAGUAACUGGUGUGAGAGCACGACCAGUCACACGGGCACUGAGACACGGGCCCG